RNAcentral lists this ribosomal RNA (597 nucleotides) under uncultured Streptococcus sp. RNAcentral's name for it is "bacterial SSU rRNA". It matches the Rfam family "Bacterial small subunit ribosomal RNA", at positions 190 to 776 of the family's 1533-position model. Lineage: Bacteria; Bacillati; Bacillota; Bacilli; Lactobacillales; Streptococcaceae. The record is from RNAcentral.
ACAUUUUGCUUAAAAAGGUGCAAUUGCAUCAAUACCCGAUGGACCUGCGUUGUAUUAGUUAGUUGGUGGAGUAACGGCUCCCCAAGGCGACGAUACAUAGCCGACCUGAGAGGGUGAUCGCCCACCCUGGGAAUGAGACACGGCCCAGACUCUUAAGGGAGGCAGCAGUAGGGAAUCUUCGGCAAUGGACGGAAGUCUGACCGAGCAACGCCGCGUGAGUGAAGAAGGUUUUCGGAUCGUAAAGAUCUGUUGUAAGAGAAGAACGAGUGUGAGAGUGGAAAGUUCACACUGUGACGGUAUCUUACCAGAAAGGGACGGCUAACUACGUGCCAGCAGCCGCGGUAAUACGUAGGUCCCGAGCGUUGUCCGGAUUUAUUGGGCGUAAAGCGAGCGCAGGCGGUUAGAUAAGUCUGAAGUUAAAGGCUGUGGCUUAACCAUAGUACGCUUUGGAAACUGUUUAACUUGAGUGCAAGAGGGGAGAGUGGAAUUCCAUGUGUAGCGGUGAAAUGCGUAGAUAUAUGGAGGAACACCGGUGGGGAAAGCGGCUCUCUGGCUUGUAACUGACGCUGAGGCUCGAAAGCGUGGGGAGCAAACAGG